AGCCGCCGCGGUAAUACCGGCGGCUCGAGUGGUGGCCACUUUUAUUGGGCUUAAAGCGUUCGUAGCUGGGUUGUUAAGUCUCUUGGGAAAUCUGGCGGCUUAACCGUCAGGCGUCUAAGGGAUACUGGCAAUCUUGGAACCGGGAGAGGUGAGGGGUACUUCGGGGGUAGGAGUGAAAUCCUGUAAUCCUCGAGGGACCACCUGUGGCGAAGGCGCCUCACCAGAACGGCUUCGACAGUGAGGGACGAAAGCUGGGGGAGCAAACCGGAUUAGAUACCCGGGUAGUCCCAGCCGUAAACGAUGCGCGUUAGGUGUAUCGGUGACCACGAGUCACCGAGGUGCCGAAGGGAAACCGUGAAACGUGCCGCCUGGGAAGUACGGUCGCAAGGCUGGAACUUAAAGGAAUUGGCGGGGGAGCACCACAACGGGUGGAGCCUGCGGUUUAAUUGGACUCAACGCCGGAAAUCUCACCGGAUAAGACAGCUGAAUGAUUGCCGGGCUGAAGACUCUGCAUGACUAGCUGAGAGGAGGUGCAUGGCCGUCGUCAGUUCGUACUGUGAAGCAUCCUGUUAAGUCAGGCAACGAGCGAGACCCACGCCAACAGUUGCCAGCAUGGUCUCCGGACUGAUGGGGACACUGUUGGGACCGCCUCUGCUAAAGAGGAGGAAGGAAUGGGCAACGGUAGGUCAGCAUGCCCCGAAUUAUCCGGGCUACACGCGGGCUACAAUGGGCAGGACAAUGGGUAUCGACACCGAAAGGUGAAGGCAAUCUCCUAAACCUGUCCGUAGUUCGGAUUGUGGGCUGUAACUCGCCCACAUGAAGCUGGAAUCCGUAGUAAUCG
Molecule: ribosomal RNA, 841 nt
Filed under: uncultured Methanoculleus sp.
Lineage: Archaea; Methanobacteriati; Methanobacteriota; Methanomicrobia; Methanomicrobiales; Methanomicrobiaceae
Description: bacterial SSU rRNA
Rfam family: Archaeal small subunit ribosomal RNA
Source: RNAcentral